GAAUGUCUGGAUUUGCCUUGCGAUGUUAACGCCGUCUGCACAAACACGUACGGGUCGUUCACCUGCCAAUGUAAUGCCGGUUUGAGUGGCGAUGGCUUCACAUGCCACGUGUGUAAUUCUGGCUACUCUGUCUACGGUGGCUACUGCUACAGAAUAUCCCCGGGCCCCGGUAACGCUCUACAGGGGCUGAAUUACUGCGCCGAUCAAGAUGCGAUAGUAGCCGAACCAAAGAGCCAAGAAGAGCACGACUACAUCAAAUCAUUUUUAUCUGAAACCACCUGGAUUGGAAUGGCUGACCUUGACAAUGACGGCACAUAUACGUACGUCAGUGACGAUACGCCAGUAGGCUUUACCUCAUUGGUCAAUCCAUGGUGGGGAAAUGGCCUAUGCGUGGUAAUGGAGAGCACGGAAUCUUAUAACUGGCUCCUGACAGACUGCACGAACACACAUCCAGUUGUCUGUCAACAAGACCAUGACGAGUGCCACGACUUUUUGGUGUCCCCGUGUGACAUCAACGCCAACUGCACCAACACCUACGGAUUCUAUACCUGCCAGUGUCGGCCUGGUUUCCCCGGUGACGGCUUCUUUUGUGACGCUUUCACCUUUGUGUACCUGGCAUUUCAACUGACGGACCUGGACUUUGCCACCGUUACGGCGACGCAGAGCAGCAUUGACACCUUCAAACU
Molecule: long non-coding RNA, 686 nt
Organism: Branchiostoma belcheri (Belcher's lancelet)
Lineage: Eukaryota; Metazoa; Chordata; Leptocardii; Amphioxiformes; Branchiostomatidae
Exons: 4
Source: RefSeq, a predicted model, not a curated record